AUACGGAGGGUCCGAGCGUUAUCCGGAAUCAUUGGGUUUAAAGGGUCCGUAGGCGGGAAUCUAAGUCAGUGGUGAAAUCUUGCGGCUCAACUGUAUAAUUGCCAUUGAUACUGGAUUUCUUGAAUUAGUGUGAAGUGGUUAGAAUGUGUAGUGUAGCGGUGAAAUGCAUAGAUAUUACACAGAAUACCAAUUGCGAAGGCAGAUCACUAACACUAUAUUGACGCUAAGGGACGAAAGCGUGGGUAGCGAACAGGAUUAGAAACCCCUGUAGUCC
RNAcentral lists this ribosomal RNA (274 nucleotides) under uncultured bacterium. RNAcentral's name for it is "partial 16S ribosomal RNA". It matches the Rfam family "Bacterial small subunit ribosomal RNA", at positions 523 to 796 of the family's 1533-position model. The record is from RNAcentral.